Molecule: ribosomal RNA, 464 nt
Filed under: Vreelandella stevensii
Lineage: Bacteria; Pseudomonadati; Pseudomonadota; Gammaproteobacteria; Oceanospirillales; Halomonadaceae
Description: partial 16S ribosomal RNA
Rfam family: Bacterial small subunit ribosomal RNA
Source: RNAcentral
CUACGGGAGGCUGCAGUGGGGAAUAUUGGACAAUGGGGGGAACCCUGAUCCAGCCAUGCCGCGUGUGUGAAGAAGGCCCUCGGGUUGUAAAGCACUUUCAGUGAGGAAGAACGCCUGGUGGUUAAUACCCAUCAGGAAAGACAUCACUCACAGAAGAAGCACCGGCUAACUCCGUGCCAGCAGCCGCGGUAAUACGGAGGGUGCGAGCGUUAAUCGGAAUUACUGGGCGUAAAGCGCGCGUAGGUGGCUUGAUAAGCCGGUUGUGAAAGCCCCGGGCUCAACCUGGGAACGGCAUCCGGAACUGUCAAGCUAGAGUGCAGGAGAGGAAGGUAGAAUUCCCGGUGUAGCGGUGAAAUGCGUAGAGAUCGGGAGGAAUACCAGUGGCGAAGGCGGCCUUCUGGACUGACACUGACACUGAGGUGCGAAAGCGUGGGUAGCAAACAGGAUUAGAUACCCUGGUAGUC